This 126-nucleotide ribosomal RNA is filed under the name Aeromonas veronii. RNAcentral's name for it is "partial 23S ribosomal RNA". It matches the Rfam family "Bacterial large subunit ribosomal RNA", at positions 2805 to 2925 of the family's 2925-position model. The record is from RNAcentral. RNAcentral also lists the same sequence under 2 other names. Lineage: Bacteria; Pseudomonadati; Pseudomonadota; Gammaproteobacteria; Aeromonadales; Aeromonadaceae.
UGAGUCAUCCCUGACCCCUUGAGGGUCCUAAAGGGCCGUUGGAGACCACAACGUUGAUAGGUGGGGUGUGUAAGCGCGGCGACGUGUUGAGCUAACCCAUACUAAUUACCCGUGAGGCUUAACCAU